This 116-nucleotide ribosomal RNA is filed under the name Pteropus alecto (black flying fox). Lineage: Eukaryota; Metazoa; Chordata; Mammalia; Chiroptera; Pteropodidae. RNAcentral also lists the same sequence under 1 other name. The record is from RNAcentral.
GUCUACAGCCAUGCCACUCUGAACAAGCCUGAUGUCUGAUCUCAGAAGCUAAACAGGGUCAGGCUUGGUAAGUACUUAGAUGAGAGACUACCUAGGAAGACCAGGUGCUGUAGGCA